Molecule: transfer RNA, 73 nt
Filed under: Salmonella enterica subsp. enterica serovar Thompson
Lineage: Bacteria; Pseudomonadati; Pseudomonadota; Gammaproteobacteria; Enterobacterales; Enterobacteriaceae
Description: tRNA-Lys
Rfam family: tRNA
About the family: Transfer RNA (tRNA) molecules are approximately 80 nucleotides in length. Their secondary structure includes four short double-helical elements and three loops (D, anti-codon, and T loops). Further hydrogen bonds mediate the characteristic L-shaped molecular structure. tRNAs have two regions of fundamental functional importance: the anti-codon, which is responsible for specific mRNA codon recognition, and the 3' end, to which the tRNAs corresponding amino acid is attached (by aminoacyl-tRNA synthetases). tRNAs cope with the degeneracy of the genetic code in two manners: having more than one tRNA (with a specific anti-codon) for a particular amino acid; and 'wobble' base-pairing, i.e. permitting non-standard base-pairing at the 3rd anti-codon position.
Source: RNAcentral
GGGUCGUUAGCUCAGUUGGUAGAGCAGUUGACUUUUAAUCAAUUGGUCGCAGGUUCGAAUCCUGCACGACNCG